GCAAGUCGAACGAGUACGGACUUCGGUCCAUAUGUACGAGUGGCGAACGGGUGAGUAACACGUGAGAAGCCUACCUCGGAGACCGGGCCAACCGUGGGAAACUACGGCUAAUACCGGAUGUCCUUACAUGAUCGCAUGAUCGAGUAAGGAAAUGAUCCGUCGCUCCGGGAGGGUCUCGCGGCCUAUCAGCUAGUUGGUGAGGUAACGGCUCGCCAAGGCAUCGACGGGUAGCUGGUCUGAGAGGACGAUC
This 250-nucleotide ribosomal RNA is filed under the name uncultured bacterium. RNAcentral's name for it is "partial 16S ribosomal RNA". It matches the Rfam family "Bacterial small subunit ribosomal RNA", at positions 57 to 305 of the family's 1533-position model. The record is from RNAcentral.